GGUUAAUGCUAGCGGUGCGCCUAACACAUGCAAGUCGAACGGUAACAGGUUAAGCUGACGAGUGGCGAACGGGUGAGUAAUGCAUCGGAACGUGCCCGAUCGUGGGGGAUAACGCAGCGAAAGCUGCGCUAAUACCGCAUACGAUCUGAGGAUGAAAGCGGGGGACCGUAAGGCCUCGCGCGAUCGGAGCGGCCGAUGUCAGAUUAGGUAGUUGGUGAGGUAAAGGCUCAACAAGCCAACGAUCUGUAGCUGGUCUGAGAGGACGACCAGCCACACGGGGACUGAGACACGGCCCAGACUCCUACGGGAGGCAGCAGUGGGGAAUUUUGGACAAUGGGCGAGAGCCUGAUCCAGCAAUGCCGCGUGCAGGAAGAAGGCCUUCGGGUUGUAAACUGCUUUUGUACGGAGCGAAAAGGCUCUCUCUAAUACAGGGGGCUCAUGACGGUACCGUAAGAAUAAGCACCGGCUAACUACGUGCCAGCAGCCGCCGUAA
RNAcentral lists this ribosomal RNA (493 nucleotides) under uncultured bacterium. RNAcentral describes it as "partial 16S ribosomal RNA". It matches the Rfam family "Bacterial small subunit ribosomal RNA", at positions 28 to 523 of the family's 1533-position model. The record is from RNAcentral.